This 222-nucleotide long non-coding RNA is filed under the name Elaeis guineensis (African oil palm). RNAcentral describes it as "long non-coding RNA (EGUI_LNC031571)". The record is from RNAcentral. Lineage: Eukaryota; Viridiplantae; Streptophyta; Magnoliopsida; Arecales; Arecaceae.
CCAGCCAAGGUAGACGUAUCAUAUCCUUUUUCUUCUUUCUCCUCCUCCAACACUUGUUGAAAUCUUUGGAGAACAUUGAACUUUGAUUAUUUUGGAGAGGAUUUCUUUUUAAUUUUGUAUAUAAUCUUUGAGCAUCAUAAAAAUUACAACCAUUCUCUCAAGCUUGUAUUAGUACCAUUUGUACUCAAGCAUUUUGACAUCAUCCAAAUCAAUCUUUGGAUC